This 468-nucleotide ribosomal RNA is filed under the name uncultured bacterium. Its description in RNAcentral is "partial 16S ribosomal RNA". It matches the Rfam family "Bacterial small subunit ribosomal RNA", at positions 28 to 507 of the family's 1533-position model. The record is from RNAcentral.
GACGAACGCUGGCGGCGUGCUUAACACAUGCAAGUCGAACGGAAAGGCCCUGCUUUUGUGGGGUGCUCGAGUGGCGAACGGGUGAGUAACACGUGAGUAACCUGCCCUUGACUCUGGGAUAACUUCAGGAAACUGGGGCUAAUACCGGAUAGGAGCUCCUGCUGCAUGGUGGGGGUUGGAAAGUUUCGGCGGUUGGGGAUGGACUCGCGGCUUAUCAGCUUGUUGGUGGGGUAGUGGCUUACCAAGGCUUUGACGGGUAGCCGGCCUGAGAGGGUGACCGUCCACAUUGGGACUGAGAUACGGCCCAGACUCCUACGGGAGGCAGCAGUGGGGAAUAUUGCACAAUGGGCGGAAGCCUGAUGCAGCAACGCCGCGUGCGGGAUGACGGCCUUCGGGUUGUAAACCGCUUUCGCCUGUGACGAAGCGUGAGUGACGGUAAUGGGUAAAGAAGCACCGGCUAACUACGUG